RNAcentral lists this long non-coding RNA (602 nucleotides) under Centruroides sculpturatus (bark scorpion). RNAcentral's name for it is "uncharacterized LOC111632040". Lineage: Eukaryota; Metazoa; Arthropoda; Arachnida; Scorpiones; Buthidae. The record is from RNAcentral.
CCAACGUCCGUUAAAAAUAAAAAAAACAUUCAGCGUUUCAGAAAUAUUUUGAGUGUUCGAACUUUUCUGGAUAUUUACAGGUUUUGCUGUGACGGAGAAUAAGAAAGUGAUAACAUUGGACCAAACUACGAAUCAUUUGUUUGUUUUUAAUAAAAGCGGCAAAUUAGAAUGUAGUAAUGUUUUUGAUCGUAAAACCAAGAAAUUCGAAUUGUUAUUAUAUGGUUUCCUAUUCCAACGAAGUUGCCUUAUCCGAUUCUGGUGCUAGUCAAGUCUACAAAACUACAUUAGAUGGUAAAUUAAAAUCUUCGGUAGCUACGGAAGAGCUCCAAGGCAAAUGGAUCGACCGUCUGUUAUCGCUUUAGUUCCAAAAGGUGCUGUGUUUAUAGCAGAGAUCGGAAAUGAGCGCAUUCAGGUUUUUGAUUGGAAAGUACUGUAGAUUUCUUAGGCAGAGCCACAUUUUCUCUUCAGAUUCGACCAUUGGACGUAGCAUUAACUAAAGACGGGCGCUUAUAUGUUUUCGAUGCUUUUCAACGCCGUUUAGAUGUUUAUCAUCUCGAAACGGAUAAAUAAGUUUUAAUUUUAUAAUUUCAGAUAUGCAUCAU